RNAcentral lists this ribosomal RNA (1170 nucleotides) under Salmonella enterica subsp. enterica serovar Virchow. RNAcentral describes it as "partial 23S ribosomal RNA". It matches the Rfam family "Bacterial large subunit ribosomal RNA", at positions 161 to 1367 of the family's 2925-position model. The record is from RNAcentral. Lineage: Bacteria; Pseudomonadati; Pseudomonadota; Gammaproteobacteria; Enterobacterales; Enterobacteriaceae.
AAUCCAUAGGUUAAUGAGGCGAACCGGGGGAACUGAAACAUCUAAGUACCCCGAGGAAAAGAAAUCAACCGAGAUUCCCCCAGUAGCGGCGAGCGAACGGGGAGGAGCCCAGAGCCUGAAUCAGCAUGUGUGUUAGUGGAAGCGUCUGGAAAGGCGCGCGAUACAGGGUGACAGCCCCGUACACAAAAGCGCAUGUGCUGUGAGCUCGAUGAGUAGGGCGGGACACGUGGUAUCCUGUCUGAAUAUGGGGGGACCAUCCUCCAAGGCUAAAUACUCCUGACUGACCGAUAGUGAACCAGUACCGUGAGGGAAAGGCGAAAAGAACCCCGGCGAGGGGAGUGAAAAAGAACCUGAAACCGUGUACGUACAAGCAGUGGGAGCACAGGUUUACCUGUGUGACUGCGUACCUUUUGUAUAAUGGGUCAGCGACUUAUAUUCUGUAGCAAGGUUAACCGAAUAGGGGAGCCGGAGGGAAACCGAGUCUUAAUUGGGCGUUAAGUUGCAGGGUAUAGACCCGAAACCCGGUGAUCUAGCCAUGGGCAGGUUGAAGGUUGGGUAACACUAACUGGAGGACCGAACCGACUAAUGUUGAAAAAUUAGCGGAUGACCUGUGGCUGGGGGUGAAAGGCCAAUCAAACCGGGAGAUAGCUGGUUCUCCCCGAAAGCUAUUUAGGUAGCGCCUCGUGAAUUCAUCUCCGGGGGUAGAGCACUGUUUCGGCUAGGGGGCCAUCCCGGCUUACCAACCCGAUGCAAACUGCGAAUACCGGAGAAUGUUAUCACGGGAGACACACGGCGGGUGCUAACGUCCGUCGUGAAGAGGGAAACAACCCAGACCGCCAGCUAAGGUCCCAAAGUCAUGGUUAAGUGGGAAACGAUGUGGGAAGGCCCAGACAGCCAGGAUGUUGGCUUAGAAGCAGCCAUCAUUUAAAGAAAGCGUAAUAGCUCACUGGUCGAGUCGGCCUGCGCGGAAGAUGUAACGGGGCUAAACCAUGCACCGAAGCUGCGGCAGCGACACUCAGGUGUUGUUGGGUAGGGGAGCGUUCUGUAAGCCUGUGAAGGUGGCCUGUGAGGGUUGCUGGAGGUAUCAGAAGUGCGAAUGCUGACAUAAGUAACGAUAAAGCGGGUGAAAAGCCCGCUCGCCGGAAGACCAAGGGUUCCUGUCCAACGUUA